GACGAACGCUGGCGGCGUGCUUAACACAUGCAAGUCGAACGGAAAGGCCCUGCUUUUGUGGGGUGCUCGAGUGGCGAACGGGUGAGUAACACGUGAGUAACCUGCCCUUGACUUUGGGAUAACUUCAGGAAACUGGGGCUAAUACCGGAUAGGAGCUCCUGCUGCAUGGUGGGGGUUGGAAAGUUUCGGCGGUUGGGGAUGGACUCGCGGCUUAUCAGCUUGUUGGUGGGGUAGUGGCUUACCAAGGCUUUGACGGGUAGCCGGCCUGAGAGGGUGUCCGGCCACAUUGGGACUGAGAUACGGCCCAGACUCCUACGGGAGUCAGCAGUGGGGAAUAUUGCACAAUGGGCUGAAGCCUGAUGCAGCAACUCCGCGUGCGGGAUGACGGCCUUCGGGUUGUAAACCGCUUUCGCCUGUGACGAAGCGUGAGUGACGGUAAUGGGUAAAGAAGCACCGGCUAACUACGUG
This 468-nucleotide ribosomal RNA is filed under the name uncultured bacterium. Its description in RNAcentral is "partial 16S ribosomal RNA". It matches the Rfam family "Bacterial small subunit ribosomal RNA", at positions 28 to 507 of the family's 1533-position model. The record is from RNAcentral.